GGAAUGGCCAAAUAUCAAGUUGAAGUUCAAAGUCUGAAACUGGAUGGUGAUUCAGUUAUAGAAGGAGUAAGUGACCAAGUUCUUGUGGCAGUUGUGGUCAGUUUCGCUUUGAUUGCUACUCUGGUAUAUGCACUUUUCAGAAAUGUACAUCAAAAUAUUCAUCCAGAAAACCAAGAGCUAGUAAGGGUACUUCGAGAACAACUUCAAACAGAACAGGAUGCACCUGCCAUUGCUCGACAGCAGUUCUAUACUGACAUGUACUGUCCAAUCUGUUUACAUCAAGCCUCCUUCCCUGUGGAAACGAACUGUGGACAUCUUUUCUGUGGUGCCUGCAUUAUUGCAUAUUGGCGCUACGGAUCAUGGCUUGGGGCAAUCAGUUGUCCAAUCUGUAGACAAACGGUAACUUUACUCCUAACAGUAUUUGGUGAAGAUGAUCAGUCUCAGGAUGUUGUAAGAUUGCAUCAAGAAAUUAAUGAUUAUAACCGGAGAUUCUCAGGGCAGCCCAGAUCUAUUAUGGAAAGAAUUAUGGAUCUACCCACUUUACUGAGGCAUGCAUUCAGGGAAAUGUUUUCAGUUGGGGGCCUUUUCUGGAUGUUCCGCAUUAGGAUAAUACUUUGUUUAAUGGGAGCUUUUUUCUAUCUUAUAUCACCUCUAGAUUUUGUACCUGAAGCCUUGUUUGGAAUUCUAGGUUUUCUAGAUGAUUUCUUUGUCAUCUUUUUGUUGCUUAUCUACAUCUCUAUUAUGUAUCGAGAAGUGAUAACCCAAAGGCUAACCAGAUGAAAAAAAUAAAUUUACUAGAAUAUCUGAGCUAGUAUAUAAAAUCAAACAGGACCCAUGGUGGUAUAAAACAUCUGAAUAUUAUCUUACAAGCUUAAAACUACUAUAUGACAAACAUUUGAUUAUAUGCUAGCAAUAUACAAGCUAUAACUGGAAUUUUACAUGUUGCAACUUCUAAAAUUAUAAUGAUCUACAGUUUUCUUGAUUCUGUGUUGUCUAUAAAGUCUCUGGAAAAAAUAUGGAAUUAUAUAAAAAGGGAUGUUUUUAUAUCUUUUUCUUUUCCCCCAAAUUACUUAGAUUAAUUGGAUAUAUAGUCAGGUAUUGUUAAAUGUACAAUUUAUUAGCCUGCUCAAUGGGUAUCUAUAUGAUAAUAUUUAGCUAUGAAACUCAUCUAAAUAUUUUUGUUACAAUAAAAUAUUAUACAGUAUUGGGGAAAAGUCAGUGUUUCUUUUAACACUAUCUAAAUUGUGUGUAUUUGGAGCAGUUCUGCUUUUUUCACUCUGAUAUAAUUCUUUGUUAUCAGCUGAAACUGAAAGAAGAAACUUGAAUUUUAUCAUUUGAUUCCAUCUUCUGGUUUACAUAACACUUUUUAAUCAGUAGAAGAAUUAGCAGGAUGAGAAACACUUACCUCCCAUCAGCACACUUGAUGUUCACAGUUAUGACAUUUAAACAGGAGGGCUGGCUAGUUAGCUGCAAGAGUUUGAUCCUUUUAUAAGAACUGAUAUAAAAGUAACUUGUAAAGGGGAAUUUUUUUAGGAUUGGCACAUUUCUGGAGAAAGCAGAUCUUCAUGUCUAUAUGCAUCAAAGCCCUUAGGAAGGUACUAGGAACAUUAUUUAAAUUUGACAAGAGAAAUUACUGGUUAGCUCCAACAACGGAAUGGACACAUUUGGCCAGUUUUCCAUUGUCAGAAAACUUUUAGAAGACUGUGUCAAGAUGGUAGCAGAUCCAUCCUGUCUUGUACAGAAUGAGUGAAUGUGUCUGAGGCGACUGGACAGGGAAGUUACUGUGUUUUUUUCUGAUGGCUUUGGCACAAGUAUCUGAUGCUCUCUUCUGCAGUGUUCUGUUUGAGAAGAAUCAAUACCACAAGCAUGAGGAGAUCCAUACUCACUUCAGCUGGCACAGCUUUAGUGAACUAGGACAGUGGGUGUCAGUCAGUGCCUGGGAGGUAGUGUUAGCUUUGUCACCCAUGACCAGUGAUAGCAUCCAUUAAUGCAUUAGUGAGCCUCACUAUGUGCAGGGAUGUACUGAGAAGAUCUGUCACAUUCUCCCAAGUUAAUCAGAUUAGCUGUCGACUAAUGAGAUCCUGAAUGAAAUAUCAAUUUGUGUUUUCUAAUUUGGACCUAGGAAAAGCUGUUGCCUGUCAUAGAGAAAAGCAAUAAUGCUUAAACAUAGCACAUUAUAAUUAAAGCAAUUUUUCAUAUACUUUUCAUUUUAUCCUUAGGAUAAUUUUGUGAGGAAGGCAGAGCAUCACCUUCCUUUUCACAGAAAAAAUCCCCAUGCUAUCAGUUUUUUUGUUUUUGGUUUUUGCCUGAAGUCACUUAAUAUGUAAGUGAUUAUAUGGUAUAAACUCUUAGUAGGAAUCUUGCAUAGGAUGUUGAGAUAGACAUGAAGAUUAUUAUGAAGAGGAGAAGCAGGAGAGAAACUGGGAUCCUUUGGAAGUUUUUCAUAAUACAUUAUUUCUUCAUUGGAGUAAGACAGUUUAAGUGCUCCUAAAAGGAAGGGUCUAGAAAAGAUGACACAUGAAGACUUCAUGAGUCCUAAUUCUACACUUCCAAAUGUAGUGUAAUAGGGUGGCAUACGUCAUAGAAAAACAUCUCAGCUGGUCACCAACUUGAAAAGCUGAGUAGGAGUUUGUUAUACCUCCAGACUGGAAAUGCAUUUACUACCAGUUAUAAAGUUGGUAUAGGGCUAUAGCAAUGUUUUUUGAAAGGAUUUUAUUUUCUGUGCAUGUGUUCUGCGACAAAUGUCACAUUUCUAGUUACAACAAUUUUACUACUAAGACUUUCUUGGUAGAGAUGUUUUGUACCAAAGUUUGUUACAUAUAAAAACACUAUGAUCUGAAAUCUUAUUAAAUUGAAAAGAGAACAUGCUGACAUCUCAGAGUUUUAGAUCCACUCGUUAGGUCAAUCUUUACAGAUCAGUGAUAGUAGAUGCAGAAGGGAUCAAACAGUAUUUAAAACAAGUAGAGUCAAUCAGUGUUUUAAACAUCAUUUACAGUAAUACUUCUGUGGUUCAGAGUUAGAGCAUAUAAAUCAAAGCAACAAUCUGGAUUUUUUAAAACAACGAUAUUGUAACUCAUAAAAACAGAUGGCCCGGCCCCAGGAGCAGAUAAUAAUUUGGGCAGCUCUGUGUGGACCAAAACAGAGGAAACAACUGUUCUAACUGCCCACUAGGACAGUGAUUUCAACUACUACAAUUCUCAGCAUUCAAGAACAGGGAAGAAAGGACUUGUGCUGAUCCCUUGUGGCUGUGCAGAUACCUACCUCACAGAGUUGUAAAGGAUUGAUGGUUUAGUUCAAUAUUUGUGAUUUAGGAGUUUGUCGAGCAUUUUAUUCUUCUGAAUAAAAGCAAUAUAUCUAAAACAA
Galeopterus variegatus (Sunda flying lemur) is the source of this 3363-nucleotide RNA transcript. It is a transcript of the gene named ring finger protein 170, with no coding region annotated. Lineage: Eukaryota; Metazoa; Chordata; Mammalia; Dermoptera; Cynocephalidae. The record is from RefSeq and is a predicted model, not a curated record. The transcript has 7 exons.